This 288-nucleotide ribosomal RNA is filed under the name uncultured bacterium. RNAcentral describes it as "partial 16S ribosomal RNA". It matches the Rfam family "Bacterial small subunit ribosomal RNA", at positions 336 to 620 of the family's 1533-position model. The record is from RNAcentral.
UUCCUACGGGGCGCAGCAGUGAGGAAUAUUGGUCAAUGGGCGGGAGCCUGAACCAGCCAAGUCGCGUGAGGGAAGACGGUCCUAUGGAUUGUAAACCUCUUUAGGCGGGGAGCAAUGCCGGGCACGUGUGCCCGGAGGGAGAGUACCCGCAGAAUAAGCAUCGGCUAACUCCGUGCCAGCAGCCGCGGUAAUACGGAGGAUGCGAGCGUUAUCCGGAUUUAUUGGGUUUAAAGGGUGCGUAGGCGGGACGGUAAGUCAGCGGUAAAAAUGCGGAGCUCAACUCCGUCG